This 119-nucleotide ribosomal RNA is filed under the name Nippostrongylus brasiliensis. Lineage: Eukaryota; Metazoa; Nematoda; Chromadorea; Rhabditida; Heligmosomidae. The record is from RNAcentral.
AUUUACGACCAUACCACGUUGAAACCAUGCCAUCUCGUCCGUUCUGGCAAGUUAAGCAACGUUAGGACUGGUUAGUACUUGGAUCGGAGACGGCCUGGGAAUCCCAGUUGUCGUAAGCU